This 424-nucleotide ribosomal RNA is filed under the name uncultured bacterium. Its description in RNAcentral is "bacterial SSU rRNA". It matches the Rfam family "Bacterial small subunit ribosomal RNA", at positions 917 to 1344 of the family's 1533-position model. The record is from RNAcentral.
GGGCCCGCACAAGCGGUGGAGCAUGUGGUUUAAUUCGAUGAUACGCGAGGAACCUUACCAGGGCUUAAAUGUAGUGGGACAGGUCUAGAGAUAGACCCUUCUUCGGACUCAUUACAAGGUGCUGCAUGGUUGUCGUCAGCUCGUGCCGUGAGGUGUCAGGUUAAGUCCUAUAACGAGCGCAACCCCUAUCGUUAGUUGCCAGCGGGUAAUGCCGGGAACUCUAGCGAAACUGCCGGUGCAAACCGUGAGGAAGGUGGGGAUGACGUCAAAUCAUCACGGCCCUUACGUCCUGGGCUACACACGUGCUACAAUGGUCGGUACAGAGAGCAGCCACUACGCGAGUAGGAGCGAAUCUUCAAAACCGAUCUCAGUUCGGAUCGCAGUCUGCAACUCGACUGCGUGAAGCUGGAAUCGCUAGUAAUCG